This 339-nucleotide RNase P RNA is filed under the name Gammaproteobacteria bacterium. Its description in RNAcentral is "RNase P RNA component class A". It matches the Rfam family "Bacterial RNase P class A". From Rfam's summary of the family: Ribonuclease P (RNase P) is a ubiquitous endoribonuclease, found in archaea, bacteria and eukarya as well as chloroplasts and mitochondria. Its best characterised activity is the generation of mature 5'-ends of tRNAs by cleaving the 5'-leader elements of precursor-tRNAs. Lineage: Bacteria; Pseudomonadati; Pseudomonadota; Gammaproteobacteria. RNAcentral also lists the same sequence under 1 other name. The record is from RNAcentral.
GGAGUCGGUCAGGCAGUCGCUCCGCGUUCGCGCGGGGAGGAAAGUCCGGGCUCCACUGGGCGAAGGCGCCGGGUAAUUCCCGGGCGGCGCGAGCCGACGGAAAGUGCCACAGAAAAUACACCGCCCCUUCGGGGGUAAGGGUGAAAUGGUGCGGUAAGAGCGCACCGCGCAGCCGGCAACGGCGGCGGCAGGGCAAACCCCGCCUGGAGCAAGACCGAAUAGGGGUCCGAUGGCGCGCCCACGCCGGACCCGGGUAGGUCGCUAGAGGCAUCCCGGCGACGGGUGUCCCAGAUGAAUGACUGUUCUCGACAGAACCCGGCUUAUCGGCCGGCUCCCACU